UUAAUAUGGUGAUGAUAACUUAUAUUAAAUGAAAUGGUAGGCAUAUAGUAGAUUAACUUUUUGAUUCAUCAGUGAAAUUGUCUUGGAUACAUCCUUCCUGUUACUGAUUAUGGUUAUGCUGUUACUUUUUAUCAGGUAACAUGACAGAACGUAACAGAAAGGAAUUACGCAGUACUUUUUGUUCAUUUACUCGAAUUGUGUAGAAGUUUACUUCCAUCUACAUAUCAAUUUGAUAAGAUACUAUAAAAACAAAUGUACUGUUAUAGUGCUGACAAUGAAAUAUUCUCAGAAGGUACAUAAAAAUGCUGUAACAGGAGAGAACAAC
RNAcentral lists this long non-coding RNA (325 nucleotides) under Mytilus galloprovincialis (Mediterranean mussel). The record is from RNAcentral. Lineage: Eukaryota; Metazoa; Mollusca; Bivalvia; Mytilida; Mytilidae.